GCCUAGCCUAUCCACCUUAUUCCUAUCUUAAAAAGAACCAACAGCUGCAAAAAAGUCAAGGACAGACAGCUCUCUAUCAAGCUAGGCAACAAUAUAAGUUCUUUGAUCAAGGAGGAUUUCAACCAGGCAAAAACCAGUCAGCAUCACUCUGAUUGGCUGAAACGAGCACAUCAUCAUAAACGCCACUCUGAUUGGCCGAGGCAAGACGAGGCAUUUGGCGGCUUGGCGCGAGUCAGAGCCGUAGUGUUCUGGACGGCACAGGUCUUCAGAUCACUGGUGAACCCGUUUCCUAGAAAUUGAAGGUCUACAGUGUGGUCCACCUGUCUUUGCACCCCGGGAAGGGCAGUGCUGUCACAAGGCAGCAUUUUUUUCACCACUGAUGGGAAUAAAUUUAAUGACAGACAUGGAGUGAGCAGAAGAUCAGGACGGUGGUGCAGAGUGAUGGCCAUCAACCCUGCAGCUUCAUUCAGUCCAAAAUGAUGUUUAAAUGGAGGACUUCACAGAGAGGGUCAGUGGCCUGUUUGCCACCACCCACAUGCCCUGCAUUUAGGGGUGAUGGUUAUGAGACUAGUUGCAUAUUUGUUGUUUUUGCUAAUGUUAAGAUUUUGUUUAAUUUUUAGAUAAAUCAAGUUCUCUCUUAGGACAUUGAUUCCCAAUCCAGCCAUCAAGAUGCAUGUAUUUGUUUCCUUUUUUUUAUUCUUGCAUAC
Molecule: long non-coding RNA, 707 nt
Organism: Labeo rohita (rohu)
Lineage: Eukaryota; Metazoa; Chordata; Actinopteri; Cypriniformes; Cyprinidae
Exons: 3
Source: RefSeq, a predicted model, not a curated record